This 457-nucleotide ribosomal RNA is filed under the name uncultured bacterium. Its description in RNAcentral is "bacterial SSU rRNA". It matches the Rfam family "Bacterial small subunit ribosomal RNA", at positions 340 to 786 of the family's 1533-position model. The record is from RNAcentral.
UACGGAAGGCAGCAGUGGGGAAUAUUGCACAAUGGGCGAAAGCCUGAUGCAGCUAUGCCGCGUGUAUGAAGAAGGCCUUAGGGUUGUAAAGUACUUUCAUCGGGGAGGAAAAAACAAAACUAAUAAUUUUAUUUCUUGACGUUACCCGAAAAAGAAGCACCGGCUAACUCCGUGCCAGCAGCCGCGGUAAUACGGAGGGUGCUAGCGUUAAUCAGAAUUACUGGGCGUAAAGAGCACGUAGGUGGUUUUUUUAAAGUCAGAUGUGAAAUCCCUGGGCUUUAACCUGGAACUGCAUUUUGAAACUGAAAUACUAGAGUAUCGUAGAGGGAGGUAGAAUUCUAGGUGUAGCGGUGAAAUGCGUAGAUAUCUGGAGGAAUACCUGUGGCGAAAGCGGCCUCCUAAACGAAUACUGACACUGAGGUGCGAAAGCGUGGGGAGCAAACAGGGAUUAGAUACC